UACGGGGGGGGCGAGCGUUGUUCGGAAUUACUGGGCGUAAAGGGUUUGUAGGUGGUCUGCUAAGUCAGACGUGAAAUCCCUCAGCUUAACUGGGGAACUGCGUUUGAUACUGGCGGACUUGAGGACAGGAGAGGAACGCGGAAUUCCAGGUGUAGCGGUGAAAUGCGUAGAUAUCGGGAGGAACACCAGUGGCGAAGGCGACUACCUGGCCUGUUCUUGACGCUGAGGCGCGAAAGCUAGGGGAGCAAACGGG
This 253-nucleotide ribosomal RNA is filed under the name uncultured bacterium. RNAcentral's name for it is "partial 16S ribosomal RNA". It matches the Rfam family "Bacterial small subunit ribosomal RNA", at positions 524 to 776 of the family's 1533-position model. The record is from RNAcentral.